GAUGAACGCUGGCGGCGUGCCUAAUACAUGCAAGUCGAGCGAACAGACGAGGAGCUUGCUCCUCUGACGUUAGCGGCGGACGGGUGAGUAACACGUGGAUAACCUACCUAUAUGACUGGGAUCACUUCGGGAAACCGGCUCUAAUACCGUAUAAUCUCUUGAACCGCAUGGUUCGAUAGUGAAAGUCGGUGUUGCUGUCACUUAUAGCUGGAUCCGCGCCUCAUUAGCUAGUUGGUAAGGUAACGGCUUACCACGGCAACGAUGCGUAGCCGACCUGAGAGGGGGAUAGGCCACACUAGAACGGAGACACGGUCCAGACGACUAAGAGAGGCACCAGUAGGGAAUCGGACGCAACAGGCGAAAGCCUUGCGGAGCAACGGCACGCGAGUGAUGAAGAUCUUGGGAUCGGAAAGCUCUGUUAUUGGGGAAGAACAGAUGUGGAAGUAACUGAACACGUCUUGACGGUAACUAAUAAGAAAGCAACGGCUAACUACGUG
This 497-nucleotide ribosomal RNA is filed under the name uncultured bacterium. Its description in RNAcentral is "partial 16S ribosomal RNA". It matches the Rfam family "Bacterial small subunit ribosomal RNA", at positions 28 to 507 of the family's 1533-position model. The record is from RNAcentral.